RNAcentral lists this ribosomal RNA (497 nucleotides) under uncultured bacterium. Its description in RNAcentral is "partial 16S ribosomal RNA". It matches the Rfam family "Bacterial small subunit ribosomal RNA", at positions 28 to 507 of the family's 1533-position model. The record is from RNAcentral.
GAUGAACGCUGGCGGCGUGCCUAAUACAUGCAAGUCGAGCGAACGGACUAGAAGCUUGCUUCUCUGAUGUUAGCGGCGGACGGGUGAGUAACACUUGGAUAACCUACCUAUAAGACUGGGAUAACUUCGGGAAACCGGCGCUCAUACCGGAUAAUAUUUUGAACCGCAUGGUUCAAAAGUGAAAGACGGUCUUGCUGUCACUUAUCGAUGGAUCCGCGCUGCAUUAGCUAGUUGGUAAGGUAACGGCUUACCAAGGCAACGAUGCAUAGCCGACCUGAGAGGGGGAUCGGCCACACUGGAACUGAGAAACGGUCCAGACACCUAAGGGAGGCAGCAGUAGGGAAUAGUCCGCAAUGGGCGAAAGCCUGACGGAGCAACGCCGCGUGAGCGAUGAAGGUCUUAGGAGCGUAAAACUCUGUUAUAAGGGAAGAACAUAUGUGUAAGUAACUGUGCACAUCUUGACGGUACCUAAUCAGAAAGCCACGGAUAACUAAGUG